RNAcentral lists this ribosomal RNA (429 nucleotides) under Verrucomicrobiota bacterium. Its description in RNAcentral is "Verrucomicrobia bacterium partial 16S ribosomal RNA". It matches the Rfam family "Bacterial small subunit ribosomal RNA", at positions 355 to 776 of the family's 1533-position model. Lineage: Bacteria; Pseudomonadati; Verrucomicrobiota. The record is from RNAcentral.
UAGGGAAUCUUCGGCAAUGGGGGGAACCCUGACCGAGCAACGCCGCGUGAGUGAAGAAGGUUUUCGGAUCGUAAAGCUCUGUUGUUAAGGAAGAACGAGUGUUAGAAUGGAAAGUUCAUGCUGUGACGGUACUUAACCAGAAAGGGACGGCUAACUACGUGCCAGCAGCCGCGGUAAUACGUAGGUCCCGAGCGUUGUCCGGAUUUAUUGGGCGUAAAGCGAGCGCAGGCGGUUAGAAAAGUCUGAAGUGAAAGGCAGUGGCUCAACCAUUGUAGGCUUUGGAAACUGUUUAACUUGAGUGCAGAAGGGGAGGGUGGAAUUCCAUGUGUAGCGGUGAAAUGCGUAGAUAUAUGGAGGAACACCGGUGGCGAAAGCGGCUCUCUGGUCUGUAACUGACGCUGAGGCUCGAAAGCGUGGGGAGCGAACAGG